This 890-nucleotide ribosomal RNA is filed under the name uncultured bacterium. RNAcentral's name for it is "bacterial SSU rRNA". It matches the Rfam family "Bacterial small subunit ribosomal RNA", at positions 8 to 853 of the family's 1533-position model. The record is from RNAcentral.
AGAGUUUGAUCAUGGCUCAGGAUGAACGCCGGCGGUGUGCCUAAUACAUGCAAGUCGAACGCGUUGGCCCAACUGAUUGAACGUGCUUGCACGGACUUGACGUUGGUUUACCAGCGAGUGGCGGACGGGUGAGUAACACGUAGGUAACCUGCCCCAAAGCGGGGGAUAACAUUUGGAAACAGAUGCUAAUACCGCAUAACAAUUUGAAUCGCAGGAUUCAAAUUUAAAAGAUGGCUUCGGCUAUCACUUUGGGAUGGACCUGCGGCGCAUUAGCCUGUUGGUAGGGUAACGGCCUACCAAGGCUGUGAUGCGUAGCCGAGUUGAGAGACUGAUCGGCCACAAUGGAACUGAGACACGGUCCAUACUCCUACGGGAGGCAGCAGUAGGGAAUCUUCCACAAUGGGCGCAAGCCUGAUGGAGCAACACCGCGUGAGUGAAGAAGGGUUUCGGCUCGUAAAGCUCUGUUGUUAGAGAAGAACGUGCGUGAGAGCAACUGUUCACGCAGUGACGGUAUCUAACCAGAAAGUCACGGCUAACUACGUGCCAGCAGCCGCGGUAAUACGUAGGUGGCAAGCGUUAUCCGGAUUUAUUGGGCGUAAAGCGAGCGCAGGCGGUUUGAUAAGUCUGAUGUGAAAGCCUUUGGCUUAACCAAAGAAGUGCAUCGGAAACUGUCAGACUUGAGUGCAGAAGAGGACAGUGGAACUCCAUGUGUAGCGGUGGAAUGCGUAGAUAUAUGGAAGAACACCAGUGGCGAAGGCGGCUGUCUGGUCUGCAACUGACGCUGAGGCUCGAAAGCAUGGGUAGCGAACAGGAUUAGAUACCCUGGUAGUCCAUGCCGUAAACGAUGAGUGCUAGGUGUUGGAGGGUUUCCGCCCUUCAGUGCCGCAGCU